This 662-nucleotide long non-coding RNA is filed under the name Homo sapiens (human). Its description in RNAcentral is "HSALNT0340678". The record is from RNAcentral. Lineage: Eukaryota; Metazoa; Chordata; Mammalia; Primates; Hominidae.
CAGGGACUUAGAAAAGCUUAGACAUUCAUAGGAAUAAGACCUCCAGCUAUUUAUGGGUUGAUUACAAGCUCAGUAUGAUUCAAUUGAUGAUUAGAUAGUAGACAUCACCUGUUACGAUUGGAGCCCUGUGGCCAAGAGGACGCCUGUGAACUAUUUCACCUGAUUAGGCCACGCUGGGAUUUUUUGCUUGGGUGAGAGGUCGUGCUUCCCCAGGACACGGGCAGCAGCCUGGAGAGAGGAGUCUCAGAGGGUAACCCUGCUCUUCUCAAAUAUGGAAAGCUCCUAUGUGGAAGGGCAGUGAGUGGGAUUUAUCUUUUUCUGGGGAUUCCAGAUGGCAGAAAAUUAGGCCCACACUGCUGAGCGGGAUUUGAGUGUGAGAAUCCAAGUACAGAAGCUGAAUUUGGGAAAAUAGUCUUGCUAAAGAAAGUGGCAGAUUUUCCCAAUUCCACAUUUUGGAAGUAUCAAGAGCUGUUUCAUGAGAUAAGCUGGCGAGAGGAAAUAGACUACUCUGGUAGGAAACUAGAGCAGCAGAAUGAAGUUUGAGAUCAUCCCAAAAGAUGUAUGUCUGCACCACAUUUUUCUUGACAGGAGAAAAAGUGACAAGAGCUAAUUAAAGGAAAACAGAAUGUUCUUUUUUGAUGGCCCAACAGACAAUUCUUUUC